CUUGUGAGAAGUGUACAUCUAUUGAUGGGGAUCGACCAGAAAAAAAGAAAGUAUUCUCUGUUUCUUCACUCGCUAUUGGUCAUGUGUAACACAUCUUUUUGAUGAGACAAGAUAUUCGCCUCGUCCACUAAUGCAAACAAAAGUGGUCUUAUUAUGUAGAGAGUUUUUUUCGGUGUGGUGCACCCCCGAGAACGCUUGAGCAUAACAAAUUCAGAAGGGGCCGGCCACAGCAGCCCCAUUCAUGGGCUAAUCAUAGAAUGUGUGCGGUGUGCACAAUUUAAGGCCAGUGCGAGAGUGUAUAGAAUUUUUUCGACGAAGCGAAGUACCCCCAUUUGACACAGUAUCUCGUAUAUGUGAAAGCUCUCCUUCUAUAUGUGAGGGGCGCAGAGUGUGCGCUUCCCGCCUCAUAACAGAGUCGUGGCACAGGGUGUCAGUUGUGUGAGUGUCUAAACCCCUCUCCACGGCUGGUGAUAGGUUUAAAUAUCAGUGACAGUGCGGUGAGCGCAGAAGCCUCAGAUGCAAGGUAGUGUAGUGUGCACUGGUGGGUAACCAUCUGUGCACGCUGCUGUGAAAUAUCCAGCGGCUCACGCCGUGUGUGUAUUUCUUUCUAUACCCCCAACUCACACGCCAAAAACACGGAGAUUUCCCCUGGAAGGGAAAAAAGCGUAACAAGGUCUCCGUUGGUGAACCAGCGGAGGGAUCAUUGCUGGAAUCUCAGGGCUUCGGCCCUGACCCAGAUACCCUAUGUGAACUUAUACCCUAUAUCGUUGCCUCGGCGCCGUGCCGGGCCUCUUUGUCGAGGCCCCCUCUGGCUACCUCACCGUAGACAGAGGAGCAGGCCCGCCGGCGGCCCACUAAACUCUCUGUUUUUAUAACGUAUCUCUUCUGAGUUUUUAAACAAAAAAUGAAUCAAAACUUUCAACAACGGAUCUCUUGGUUCUGGCAUCGAUGAAGAACGCAGCGAAAUGCGAUAAGUAAUGUGAAUUGCAGAAUUCAGUGAAUCAUCGAAUCUUUGAACGCACAUUGCGCCCGCUGGAAUUCCGGCGGGCAUGCCUGUUCGAGCGUCAUUUCAACCCUCAAGCCUCGCUUGGUGUUGGGGCGCUUCCCGUCAAACGGAAGGCCCUGAAAUUGAAUGGCGGGCUCGCUAAGACUCUGAGCGUAGUAAUUUUACAACCUCGCUUUGGUAGGAUUAGCGGUGCUCUUGCCGUAAAACCCCCCAAUUUUUUGAAAAUUUGACCUCGGAUCAGGUAGGAUGCCUUC
RNAcentral lists this ribosomal RNA (1260 nucleotides) under fungal endophyte sp. O31-3112. RNAcentral's name for it is "eukaryotic LSU rRNA". The stretch from base 914 to 1067 matches the Rfam family "5.8S ribosomal RNA". Lineage: Eukaryota; Fungi. The record is from RNAcentral.